RNAcentral lists this ribosomal RNA (750 nucleotides) under uncultured bacterium. Its description in RNAcentral is "bacterial SSU rRNA". It matches the Rfam family "Bacterial small subunit ribosomal RNA", at positions 43 to 783 of the family's 1533-position model. The record is from RNAcentral.
CAGGCCUAACACAUGCAAGUCGAGCGGACUUAUCCUUCGGGAUAGGUUAGCGGCGGACGGGUGAGUAACACGUAGGCAACCUGCCUGUAAGAUCGGGAUAACUACCGGAAACGGUAGCUAAGACCGGAUAGCUGGUUUCUCCGCAUGGGGGAAUCAUGAAACACGGGGCAACCUGUGGCUUACGGAUGGGCCUGCGGCGCAUUAGCUAGUUGGUGGGGUAACGGCCCACCAAGGCGACGAUGCGUAGCCGACCUGAGAGGGUGAUCGGCCACACUGGGACUGAGACACGGCCCAGACUCCUACGGGAGGCAGCAGUAGGGAAUCUUCCGCAAUGGGCGCAAGCCUGACGGAGCAACGCCGCGUGAGUGAUGGAGGUUUUCGGAUCGUAAAGCUCUGUUGCCAAGGAAGAACGCCUCGGAGAGUAACUGCUCUGAGGGUGACGGUACUUGAGAAGAAAGCCCCGGCUAACUACGUGCCAGCAGCCGCGGUAAUACGUAGGGGGCAAGCGUUGUCCGGAAUUAUUGGGCGUAAAGCGCGCGCAGGCGGUCUUUUAAGUUUGGUGUUUAAGCCCGGGGCUCAACCCCGGUUCGCACUGAAAACUGGGAGACUUGGGUGCAGGAGAGGAAAGCGGAAUUCCACGUGUAGCGGUGAAAUGCGUAGAGAUGUGGAGGAACACCAGUGGCGAAGGCGGCUUUCUGGACUGUAACUGACGCUGAGGCGCGAAAGCGUGGGGAGCAAACAGGAUUAGAU